AGGAACCUGCCACAAUGACGCAAGUCUGAUGGAGCAACGCCGCGUGAGUGAAGAAGGUUUUCGGACCGUAAAGUUCUGUUGUUGGUGAAGAAGGAUAGAGGUAGUAACUGGCCUUUAUUUGACGGUAAUCAACCAGAAAGUCACGGCUAACUACGUGCCAGCAGCCGCGGUAAUACGUAGGUGGCAAGCGUUGUCCGGAUUUAUUGGGCGUAAAGCGAGCGCAGGCGGAAGAAUAAGUCUGAUGUGAAAGCCCUCGGCUUAACCGAGGAAUUGCAUCGGAAACUGUUUUCUUGAGUGCAGAAGAGGAGAGUAGAACUCCAUGUGUAGCGGUGGAAUGCGUAGAUAUAUGGAAGAAUACCAGUGGCGAAGGCGGCUCUCUGGUCUGCAACUGACGCUGAGGCUCGAAAGCAUGGGUAGCGAACAGGAUUAGAUACCCUGGUAGUCCAUGCCGUAAACGAUGAGUGCUAAGUGUUGGGAGGCUUCCGCCUCUCAGUGCUGCAGCUAACGCAUUAAGCACUCCGCCUGGGGGAGUACGACCGCAAGGUUGAAAC
Molecule: ribosomal RNA, 551 nt
Filed under: uncultured bacterium
Lineage: Bacteria
Description: partial 16S ribosomal RNA
Rfam family: Bacterial small subunit ribosomal RNA
Source: RNAcentral